AUAUUCUUAGGCUCGAUCUUAUGGCAGGAACUGCGUAGUUGGUGAACUCGCUUUAUGUUGUUCGUUCACUCGCGACACGGUUCUUGUCCCAAGAUCGAGUCUGUGAAUAU
Non-coding RNA from Oryza punctata, 110 nucleotides. The record is from Rfam. NCBI's taxonomy places the organism in Eukaryota, Viridiplantae, Streptophyta, Magnoliopsida, Poales, Poaceae.